CCUACGGGUGGCAGCAGUGGGGGAUAUUGCACAAUGGGGGAAACCCUGAUGCAGCGACGCCGCGUGUGGGAAGACGGUCCUCUGGAUUGUAAACCACUGUCCCCAGGGACGAAGAUGACGGUACCUGGGGAGGAAGCUCCGGCUAACUACGUGCCAGCCGCCGCGGUAAUACGUAGGGAGCGAGCGUUGUCCGGAAUUACUGGGUGUAAGGGGGGAGUAGGCGGGUCUGCAAGUUGGGUGUCAAAUCUACCGGCUCAACCGGUAGCCGCACUCAAAACUGCAGUUCUUGAGUGAAGUCGAGGCAGGCGGAAUUCCUAGUGUAGCGGUGAAAUGCGUAGAUAUUAGGAGGAACACCAGUGGCGAAGGCGGCCUGCUGGGCUUUUACUGACGCUGAGGCUCGAAAGUGUGGGGAGCAAACAGGAUUAGAUACCCUUGUAGUC
This 440-nucleotide ribosomal RNA is filed under the name uncultured bacterium. RNAcentral describes it as "partial 16S ribosomal RNA". It matches the Rfam family "Bacterial small subunit ribosomal RNA", at positions 338 to 795 of the family's 1533-position model. The record is from RNAcentral.